UAGCGUAGGGCGCAAGCGUUUAUCCGGAAUUAUUGAGCGUAAAGAGCUCGUAGGUCGGUUUGUCGCGUCUGCCGUCGAAAGUCCGGGGCUCAACUCCGGAUCUGCAGUGGAUACGGGCAGACUAGAGGUAGGUGAGGGGAGAAGUGGAAUUCCCGGUGUAGCGGUGAAAUGCGCAGAUAUCAGGAGGAACACCGAUGGCGAAGGCGGCUCUCUGGAACGCAACUGGACGCUGAGACGCGAAAGCGUGGGGAGCAAACAGG
RNAcentral lists this ribosomal RNA (260 nucleotides) under uncultured bacterium. Its description in RNAcentral is "partial 16S ribosomal RNA". It matches the Rfam family "Bacterial small subunit ribosomal RNA", at positions 523 to 776 of the family's 1533-position model. The record is from RNAcentral.